GACGAACGCUGGCGGCGUGCUUAACACAUGCAAGUCGAACGGAAAGGCCCUGCUUUUGUGGGGUGCUCGAGUGGCGAACGGGUGAGUAACACGUGAGUAACCUGCCCUUGACUUUGGGAUAACUUCAGGAAACUGGGGCUAAUACCGGAUAGGAGCUCCUGCUGCAUGGUGGGGGUUGGAAAGUUUCGGCGGUUGGGGAUGGACUCGCGGCUUAUCAGUUUGUUGGUGGGGUAGUGGCUUACCAAGGCUUUGACGGGUAGCCGGCCUGAGAGGGUGACCGGCCACAUUGGGACUGAGAUACGGCCCAGACUCCUACGGGAGGCAGCAGUGGGGAAUAUUGCACAAUGGGCGGAAGCCUGAUGCAGCAACGCCGCGUGCGGGAUGACGGCCUUCGGGUUGUAAACCGCUUUCGCCUGUGACGAAGCGUGAGUGACGGUAAUGGGUAAAGAAGCACCGGCUAACUACGUGCCAGCAGCCGCGGUGAUACGUAGGGUGCGAGCGUUGUCCGGAUUUAUUGGGCGUAAAGGGCUCGUAGGUGGUUGAUCGCGUCGGAAGUGUAAUCUUGGGGCUUAACCCUGAGCGUGCUUUCGAUACGGGUUGACUUGAGGAAGGUAGGGGAGAAUGGAAUUCCUGGUGGAGCGGUGGAAUGCGCAGAUAUCAGGAGGAACACCAGUGGCGAAGGCGGUUCUCUGGGCCUUUCCUGACGCUGAGGAGCGAAAGCGUGGGGAGCGAACAGGCUUAGAUACCCUGGUAGUCCACGCUGUAAACGGUGGGUACUAGGUGUGGGGUCCAUUCCACGGGUUCCGUGCCGUAGCUAACGCUUUAAGUACCCCGCCUGGGGAGUACGGCCGCAAGGCUAAAACUCAAAGGAAUUGACGGGGCCCCGCACAAGCGGCGGAGCAUGCGGAUUAAUUCGAUGCAACGCGUAGAACCUUACCUGGGUUUGACAUGGAUCGGGAGCGCUCAGAGAUGGGUGUGCCUCUUUUGGGGUCGGUUCACAGGUGGUGCAUGGCUGUCGUCAGCUCGUGUCGUGAGAUGUUGGGUUAAGUCCCGCAACGAGCGCAACCCUUGUUCACUGUUGCCAGCACGUUAUGGUGGGGACUCAGUGGAGACCGCCGGGGUCAACUCGGAGGAAGGUGGGGAUGACGUCAAGUCAUCAUGCCCCUUAUGUCCAGGGCUUCACGCAUGCUACAAUGGCUGGUACAGAGAGUGGCGAGCCUGUGAGGGUGAGCGAAUCUCGGAAAGCCGGUCUCAGUUCGGAUUGGGGUCUGCAACUCGACCUCAUGAAGUCGGAGUCGCUAGUAAUCGCAGAUCAGCAACGCUGCGGUGAAUACGUUCCUGGGGCU
RNAcentral lists this ribosomal RNA (1346 nucleotides) under uncultured bacterium. RNAcentral's name for it is "bacterial SSU rRNA". It matches the Rfam family "Bacterial small subunit ribosomal RNA", at positions 28 to 1381 of the family's 1533-position model. The record is from RNAcentral.